Small nuclear RNA from Vombatus ursinus (common wombat), 107 nucleotides. The record is from Ensembl. Lineage: Eukaryota; Metazoa; Chordata; Mammalia; Diprotodontia; Vombatidae.
GUGCUUGCUUUAGCAGCACAUGUAUUAAAAUUGGGACCAUACAGAGGAGAUUAGCGUGGCUCCUGUGAAAAGAUGACAUGCAAAUUUGUGAAGAGAAAACACAGAGU